RNAcentral lists this ribosomal RNA (392 nucleotides) under uncultured bacterium. RNAcentral describes it as "partial 16S ribosomal RNA". It matches the Rfam family "Bacterial small subunit ribosomal RNA", at positions 523 to 918 of the family's 1533-position model. The record is from RNAcentral.
AUACGGAGGAUCCGAGCGUUAUCCGGAUUUAUUGGGUUUAAAGGGUGCGCAGGCGGCCAUUUAAGUCAGCGGUUAAAUCGUGGGGCUCAACCCCAUUCUGCCGUUGAUACUGGGUGGCUUGAUUGCGGUCGAGGUUGGCGGAAUUCGUUGUGUAGCGGUGAAAUGCAUAGAUAUGACGAAGAACACCGAUUGCGUAGGCAGGUGACCAGACCGCAAAUGACGCUCAUGCACGAAAGUGCGGGGAUCGAACAGGAUUAGAUACCCUGGUAGUCCGCACAGUAAACGAUGAAUACUUGUUUUCGGCGAUAUAAUGUCGGAGGCAAAGCGAAAGCGAUAAGUAUUCCACCUGGGGAGUACGCCGGCAACGGUGAAACUUAAAGGAAUUGACGGGG